GCCGGGAUGGCGGAAUUGGUAGACGCGCUUGCUUCAGGUGCAAGUGAAGGCAACUUCGUGGAGGUUCGAGUCCUCUUCUCGGCA
Molecule: transfer RNA, 84 nt
Filed under: Methylococcaceae bacterium TMED69
Lineage: Bacteria; Pseudomonadati; Pseudomonadota; Gammaproteobacteria; Methylococcales; Methylococcaceae
Description: tRNA-Leu
Rfam family: tRNA
About the family: Transfer RNA (tRNA) molecules are approximately 80 nucleotides in length. Their secondary structure includes four short double-helical elements and three loops (D, anti-codon, and T loops).
Source: RNAcentral